CGGCCAUCCUACUGAUAUGAACCAGAUCAUACCUGCCCUGAUGGGAUGCCAGAGAAAGACUGCUGCAAGGUACUCGCCACUCACAGACCUCUCCGUUUAUCUCACUGAUGCAAAGGACCCUGAGUAGGGCUCCUCUGGAAACAGAACAGAGGGAAGAAGAUACCUUCCUUGAAGCCCAGAUGUUCCAGAAGCCUGCGCCUCAUUCACAAAGUCACCCCAAAAAUGCCCUAGAGUUUGGAGUUUUGAAGAAGUGGGAAGAAGGCCUGAGUAAGGGCCUGGGAACCAAGUUAGAUCCUGCUUCAGCAUCAGCACAUGCCAGCGAUGGUGCACACAGGUGGAGAGCGGCCUGCCUGUCUUUUCCAUGGUGCCCACAGACCCAUUUAGGAUGAAAGAUCAGAAAAUUCUCUCCAUGUCACCGCUUCUGAAACAUGUGAAUAUUAAUAUUUGGUGCCUAAAAGGUCAUGGCAAAUUUUCGUUGGUUUUAUCUUAUUCAUGAUUAUAGAGUUGAAAGAAUACAUAUUCC
Molecule: long non-coding RNA, 523 nt
Filed under: Pan troglodytes (chimpanzee)
Lineage: Eukaryota; Metazoa; Chordata; Mammalia; Primates; Hominidae
Description: long non-coding RNA NONPTRT013547
Source: RNAcentral